AUUGAACGCUGGCGGCAGGCCUAACACAUGCAAGUCGAACGAGUGGCGGACGGGUGAGUAAUGUCUGGGAAACUGCCUGAUGGAGGGGGAUAACUACUGGAAACGGUCGCUUAUACCGCAUACCCUCGGUUUUGCCCAGAUGGGAUUAGCUAGUAGGUGGGGUAACGGCUCACCUAGGCGACGAUCCCUCGCUGGUCUGAGAGUAUGACCAGCCACACUGGAAUUGGGACACGGCCCAGACUCCUACGGGAGGCAGCAGUGGGGAAUAUUGCACAAUGGGCGCAAGCCUGAGGCAGCCAUGCCGCGUGUAGGAAGAAGGCCUUCGGGUUGUAAAGUACGUUCAGCGGGGAGGCGUUACCCGCAGAAGAAGCACCGGCUAACUCCGUGCCAGCAGCCGCGGUAAUAC
RNAcentral lists this ribosomal RNA (406 nucleotides) under uncultured bacterium. RNAcentral's name for it is "partial 16S ribosomal RNA". It matches the Rfam family "Bacterial small subunit ribosomal RNA", at positions 30 to 526 of the family's 1533-position model. The record is from RNAcentral.